GUGGGGAAUCUUAGACAAUGGGCGCAAGCCUGAUCUAGCCAUGCCGCGUGAGUGAUGAAGGCCCUAGGGUUGUAAAGCUCUUUCAGCUGGGAAGAUAAUGACGGUACCAGCAGAAGAAGCCCCGGCUAACUCCGUGCCAGCAGCCGCGGUAAUACGGAGGGGGCUAGCGUUGUUCGGAAUUACUGGGCGUAAAGCGCGCGUAGGCGGACUGAAAAGUUAGGGGUGAAAUCCCGGGGCUCAACCUCGGAACUGCCUUCAAAACUAUCAGUCUGGAGUUCGAGAGAGGUGAGUGGAAUUCCGAGUGUAGAGGUGAAAUUCGUAGAUAUUCGGAGGAACACCAGUGGCGAAGGCGGCUCACUGGCUCGAUACUGACGCUGAGGUGCGAAAGCGUGGGGAGCAAACAGGAUUAGAAACCCGGGUAGUCC
RNAcentral lists this ribosomal RNA (425 nucleotides) under uncultured bacterium. RNAcentral describes it as "partial 16S ribosomal RNA". It matches the Rfam family "Bacterial small subunit ribosomal RNA", at positions 354 to 796 of the family's 1533-position model. The record is from RNAcentral.